CCGCGGUAAUACGUAGGUGGCAAGCGUUGUCCGGAAUUAUUGGGCGUAAAGCGCGCGCAGGCGGUCCCUUAAGUCUGAUGUGAAAUCCCACGGCUCAACCGUGGAAGGUCAUUGGAAACUGGGGGACUUGAGUACAGAAGAGGAAAGCGGAAUUCCAAGUGUAGCGGUGAAAUGCGUAGAGAUUUGGAGGAACACCAGUGGCGAAGGCGGCUUUCUGGUCUGUAACUGACGCUGAGGCGCGAAAGCGUGGGGAGCAAACAG
RNAcentral lists this ribosomal RNA (261 nucleotides) under uncultured bacterium. Its description in RNAcentral is "partial 16S ribosomal RNA". It matches the Rfam family "Bacterial small subunit ribosomal RNA", at positions 515 to 775 of the family's 1533-position model. The record is from RNAcentral.